Bactrocera oleae (olive fruit fly) is the source of this 917-nucleotide non-coding RNA. The record is from RefSeq and is a predicted model, not a curated record. Lineage: Eukaryota; Metazoa; Arthropoda; Insecta; Diptera; Tephritidae.
CACGAUUUUAUAUGUCAUUAUUAAUUAAUCCCUCUUCUUCACAUUGAGAUUCGCGGAAAUUUCCCAGCCGUUACAACGGAUUUGGCUCUGCGCGCUUGGAUUUACAGCUGAUAUUUUCUAAAAAUGUAAUAUCACGACUCACAAGAAACUUGUUGUCAGAUUUUUGGUAAACAUGAUAUGCUUUUGAUAAAACGCAAUAUCCAACAAAAAUCUUGUGCCGCUGAACGAUUUUGUGCUAAUUGGACCAAGCACGUCCGAAUGUUAAGGGUGUUUUUUUAGAGAUAAUCUUGUGGCAUUAGAUUUUAAAUAUGGUUUACAGAAUAUGACACAGCAUAUAUACAGCAAUGUCCUAAAAUCAAAGAGAUGUUAAUAAACCAUUUUUAAAUUUCGCAACAAUGCCGCUUUCAGAAGAGCGCUGAUCGCUUCAGGAGAGCUUGACAACGGCCAACUCAGUAAAACAACAGCUACUCAAUGACACAGCACAAUCGCUUUCCAGUCCACUACCGUUAUUUUGCUAGUACCACCGCUAUGUAUCAGGGAAACACCAACAGACCCCAGUAGAUUCGGCGACUACUGUCGGCAGUGUUAAUCCCCCCCGAUUGUUUGACCGCGUUCCUGACACAAAAUACCUGGUAGCGCAGACAUCUUCGCAACGCAGCGUCGUUUCAACGUUUCAUCAACGAUGUUCUUUCCAAUCUUGAUUUCGCCUACGCAUACAUCGACGACCUCCUCAUAACCUCAAGCAAUGAAUGACAACACUAACAACAUUUGCGUUUGAUAUUUCAGUGGCUCAGCCAAUACGGCCUUUGCAACAAUGUAGACAAAUGCGUCUUAUGCUCAACCAACGUCGAAUUCCUCAUAUAUCAAAUUUCCUUGCUUGGCUCAACACUACUAAAUGAUCGGGUGCAAUCGCUCCG